GCGCGAUGAUUUUCGGUGAUUAUCCCGAAGAUCCACGGACCUUACGAUCCUGUCCGUUACUACGGCAAGCCGGAUACGCC
Non-coding RNA from Aedes aegypti (yellow fever mosquito), 80 nucleotides. The record is from Rfam. Lineage: Eukaryota; Metazoa; Arthropoda; Insecta; Diptera; Culicidae.